GUUGGGUGUUGGAAGUCAGGUGUCGGAUAUUGGAAGCUGGGUGUUGGAAGUCAGAUGUUGGAUAUUGGAUAUUGGAAGUUGGGUGUUGGAAAUUGAGUGUUGGAAGUUGAAUGUCAGAAGUUGGAUGUUAGAUGCUGGGUGUUGGAACUUGGAUGUUGAUUGGGUGCAGCCCCUAAAACCUGUGCAGGAGGAAGGCUCAGCAUGUGUGAAAUAUCUGAAACCUUGUAAGGUAUUCAUCUUGUGCUGUAAUUAUUUUUAAACAUCCCAAAUUAUAUGAGUAGUACAGGGAAAACAAUGUCGGCUUGUCUUUAAAACACAGCCUUUCAUUACGGAAAUCUGUCAUCUGUUAAUUCAUUAGAGCCCCGACAGAAAAAGCUGAGAUCAAAACUAUUUUAAAUGAUUCCUGAUGACACACAAUGGCAAAUUUCAGCCAUUAUUCCGGAAAUGUAACCAUCAUUCUUUCUGCUGGAUUCAACAAGGGUCCUUCCUCUGAUAUUAAUUGACUUCUAAGUAGUUGCACAUGUUGUUGUUGUGUUAUUGCUCAGAUCUCUUUCUGAAGUGCGUGGCGAUGUGAGCAAGAAGCCUUGGGCUCCUCAGAUCUCUCUGUCAGACCCACACAGCACUGAGCUCUUAGCACUGGGAACCAGGGGCUCACCAAGCUCUGGGCUCUGCUGCCUUCACCUGCUUUAGUGAGCGGGGGGCAGUUCGCCUCCAUGAGAAAAAGAAUAAAAAACACCACACAUCUGUUUUGUUUUUCUGUUGGUUUUUUUCUUUCUUUCUUUCCUUUUUUUUUUUUUUUUUUUCCCUGAAGAUCCAAGGCAGAAUUUCAAAGCAAAUUCCAAAUCUUAUUUUGUUGCCUUUGUUUCCACGACAUCUCUGCGGGCGCAGCUGUCUGCACUGCUCAUGGAGCCAUCCAAGAGCCCGCAUGGCAAACGCAGACCCAAGGCUUGGCUGGGGCAGCGCAGGUGCUGGUGGCCUCGUGAUGCUGGAAAGCCAUGUUCAUCCUCCUUGGUCUUUGUGGCUCAGCUGGUGCUGUGUGGGUAAUGCCUCACAUCUGCUGUGUGCACAGCACAACAUGGUCCUGGGAACCUGAAAGACGUGGAAGAAAACCAAGUCCUGUCCUUCAUGCAGCUUCUGCCACAAGGUGAGAAUCUCGGCCGACGUUCAGCCUCCAACAGAUGCUAUUCAUGUGAGUGAGAUGUGCUCCCCAUGGCCGUCGUGGUGGAUGUGGCCAUAGAAUAGAAUCACUGAGGCUGGAAAAGCCCUCUGAGAUGCCCAAGCCCACCCCACCCCAUCAUCCCCACUGACCAUGUCCCUCAGUGCCACAUCUCUGUGGUUCUGGAACACCUUCUGGGUGACCCCAGGUCUGUUCCCAAGGAUUUCUGCUGGUGUGUCACAGAACAUCUUUAUUCUUGUUGAGUAAUCCAGGCCAAGCGUAGGUUUACCCUGCAUGUAUGGGGCAGCUGGCAGGCAUUGAUGGGGGGCAGCAAAGUGCUUGUGGAGGAGAAGUGGUUCUUUGUGUUGCCAAAAAUCAGUAUUUUGUGCUGUUAAAGCUGGCUCUGUACUUUUUCCAAGUGAAGUAUAUGAAAAUCCUGCUCAAAUGAUGCGUGAGUUUCUUAUGAACUGGGCUGAGAGCCGAUAAAUUGCUGUGUUUAAUUAAAUACCUCGAUUUACUGAACUUGAGGUGAAGCCAAGCAUGGCAAGCAGGGCCGCUUUUAUGCAUUAUAAGAAGACAAGAAAGCCAACAAUGAGCCAUAAAAUAUUGUAGGACCAAAACAACAACAACAAAAGGGGAUGGGGUGGGAUUUGAGUGCUCUUUUUUAUUUAACAGAAUCCCACCCCUGCUUUGGUUUGAUGCAAGGGAGGGGUACAGAGGGAAGCGUGCUGGGGGGGUGCAGGGGAGAUGCUGGCCCUGGGGGCUGCCUGCUCGUGCACGGCCACCCCAAUGGCUUUGCGCCAUCCCUGCUGCAGUGCUGAACCAACCCACGGCCUCAGGGGAGCGGGGCUGGGCUGAUUUACCUGCACAGCGCCUCGCCGCGUGAGAGCAUAACUCUUCUGCACACCACACAGUGCCUCUGUACUUCAUUGCACUUUAAAUAGCACAGCGGAGAGGAGAAAUAAUUAUUCUCGUAGGUUGGCUGGGGCUGAUUCUAAAUCUGCACGAGCAGAGCUGCUCGGGGACUUUUGGUGCUUGAGUCAGCGAUCCUCUGACUUUGUGACUUCAGAAAGGGACGAGCGUUUGCCUUCUUCUUUUUCUCUUUGCAAUACUUAAUGACAAAGAUAUAAAUCCAUGGCAGCCCUGAGGCAUAAAUAGCCGUAGCGCAGCCAGCUUGCUCUGCCACCCACGGCCCACGAGAGGUCUUCACUGCUUUCUUUUCAUCUGUGAACUUGCUCCAGCAGAAAGCAAACCAGUGCCUCCCCUCCCCCUCUCCCAUCCUUACUGGGCUGCACUGGGAGCAUCGCCGUGGGGCAGCCCAUCGUAGUGCUGUGGGGUUUGCUGCUGUGAAGCCCCUGCUGUAUUUAGGGCCUAACAUCUUUCUGCAGAGCACCCCCUGUGCCGUCCCCAUGGCGUUUGCACGGCGUGCCUUCCACCAACGUGUGGGUGACGUGGAGCAUGGGGUGCCCAGCAAACACAGGGAUGGGACUAUGGGAUAUUACCCACAAAUAGAGGAGGAGAGGGGGAGGAAAAGGAGAAGCAGGAGUCGGAGGGCUGCGUAUGGGUGGCACAGGAGUAGCAGCAAAUAGAAACAGCCCAUGGUGCACGGCUGGGCCUGGGGAACAGCUGUCCCUCUGGAUGCUCACGAGUUAACCAGACAGGCCCAUGGCUGCAGGAAGGAGCAGAGCCCGCCGGUGCCAGCAGAAAGCUGUGAAAACAUCGAGCAGAGUGUUUACAUGGCUUUUUCUUUCUUUUUAUUUUGAGAUGCUCUGAUUACAAGCCAGACUUUUAAAGACAGGAAGUGGCCAGCAGAUGAGCGUAUCAAUCACUGCCUUUAUAAGCUUUUGAAGAUUCUGCAAAUCAUUUUAUGGCUCAGAUAGCAGCCUUCCUGCAAAGGCAAUAAACCUGGCAAUGAGUCAGGCUGAGGAUGUGUGCCGUGCCCAAGGGCUCAGUGCUUUGCCUGUCCGGGUCAGCUCGGUGGGGUGACUGCUCUUCUUCCUGUAUGGCUGCACUGGGAAUGGGUGGAUGGAGCAAAAGGAGACACGUCCCCAUCCAUGCUGUGCUCCUUUGGGAGUGGGCCCUGUGCAGGGGGAGGAUGCACGAGCUAAAUAAACCAUGUGAGCUGAGUGGGUCCUCAGCGUGGAGGUGCGGCGCUUCCCAGGGCAACCACAUCCACAAUUGCACAUGAAACUCCUUUUAAGAUAAGAUGCAAAUGUCUGGAGACUUUCCUAUCUGCAGGCAUUAGGAGAGUCUGGGCUGCAGUCUCUGAUGCCUCUGUGACUGUGCACGUCCUCUCCUCCAUACCAAUCCCUGCAGAGGGACGCUCUGCUGGGGCUGCAGCCCGUUCCAUUGCUGGGCCAAUGCACAACUGCUCCUUGCUGCUUCCAGACGGCGCAGCCAAAUAAACCUCCCGCUCCUUCCCUCUUCCCGGUGCCAUUACUGCCUCCCGCCCCGUAAUUCUCAGCCAUGAGUGAGUCAAAUUCAAUUUUAUAGUGAGUGUGCAAAGUGAACUGUAGCUGGGGAGCAGUUCGGUGCGCGCCAUCCCUCCCCAGCCUGACAACCAGCCUUACUGCCCAGCAGGGAAUAGCCUGAUCGCUCGUUUACGGCUGCAAUCAUCUCUCUGUUACAGCAUUAGAAAGGAAUGAGCACCAAAAGCCAUUAUAAUUAAGAUCUCUCCGGAGCUGACAGUAGAAAUAGAUGGCAUGUGGAGCUGGAGCUCCGUGGCUCAGCUGUUUCUUUUCGAGCUGUCACUGGAAAAUUACAGAGGCUGACAAUCAUAUUCUGAGCUCAGCUGUGCCGAGCAGCACACAUCCAGCACAGCACCAGGCACUGCCGUGGGCUCAGCCCUCCAAACCCAAAGGCUUGCACUGCACUGGGCCACCUGCACAGCACUCAGGUUGGUGUUCACCCCGCUUGGUGUCCCCUACUGAUAUACAGGAGCACCCAAGGUGGUUCCAGAGCUGCACAGAGCUCCUGUGCCAGGCCGGGAGGUUGGGCUGCCCUGGGUGGGUGCUCUGGUGCUCAGCUGGGAGGGCACAUCAGGUCCGUGUGUCCACAUUUGAACCUGGGCUGCUAUCUGUUACCUGAUGCUGACAGCCCGCAAUCACCGCUGGCCUCUCCCCGUGCACAGAGGUGCUCACAGAGCCCAAAGUGUCAGAGAUAUUCAGGGCAGCAGCCAAGGAGCACUGCACAGCGCUGUGGGUCUUCAUACCUCGGGAAGCGUUGCCCAACAGAAUUGAAACAGCAGCUGAUGGUUUCCCAAUUAUUGCUUAAUAACGAGCAGCUCCUCCCCUGCCCCCAGACAGCAAACAGCACACGGUGCUGCGGUGACGGAGCUGCUGAGCGAUGCCUGCUGCACCCUCCUGCUUUUCUCCUACCUCCAAGCUGGGGAGAUCCCCACCGCUCUGCUGUGCGUUUCACCUCCUCUUCGCCCAUUAAGAGGCCCUCUGUGCUCAGCAGGAUGUUGGGAUGGGGCUCUUGCUGCUCUGUGCGUGGCAGCAGCUGAAGGCACGCGUUUUCUGCCUGCAUUUUUUGCUGACAGCCGGCAUCAAAGCUAUUCCUUUUAAAUGUCUGAUGCUGUAUCUCGUUGCAGGAGGCUGUGUUGGGUUACUCCUUGCCACAUACCACUGCGAGAGGGUGUGUUAUUUAAAGAACCAGUGCUUAGCAAACCUCACUCCCUCACCCCGUUGGAUAACUGUGCUAUAAGCACGAGUGGCCUUGCUUUUCUUUCCAAUGGCUGCGUUUUUAAAGGCACCCAGAUUAGAAACCAAUUUGCAGGUAAGGGAAGCAUCGCCCCUGGGGUUUUCUGCUGGCUCAGUCGCAGCAUGGCAGCGGGCAUGAGCUGCUGUGCAUCUGGAUACGGGAGUUUGGAUCUAUGCCACUGCUUUGGGGCAGGUUGGGAUUCCAUGCAAGCCUUUGGGCCUGCAAAGAGCAAGGCUUUUGGAGAAGCUCCCUCUGCCUCAAUGCAAAAAGCUCCGGAGCCACGCUGCCCCUUCCCACCAUCCCACAUCAGCCAAAGCUUCCUUCUAAGCUGCAAAUGAAUUAUUGAUGCAAUUAUUCAUCCUCAUUUAAACAUCUAUUUAGUGGCAUUUAAAUAACAGUGCUCAGAAUAUGUCAACAGUUUACACAAUAAUUUGGAUUCUGAUCUUUAUACCUCUGUUUUCUCCCACACAAAUAAUUGGAACUCAUCCAUUCUAAGUGACAAUUGCAGAUAAGCAUCGCCCUUUUUUUUUUCCUGUUGCACAUGUGCAUUAUCUAAAUAUAUUAAAACACUCCAUUUUAAAUUCAUUUGAAUGAUUAAUCAGUUACUCGGCUGUAAUUGUUUGUGUUAAGACAACUCAGAUUAGAAAACAGAUCAGGGAGACAAUUAGGAAGGCAAGCAGUGUGAAAUCGCUGUCGAUAGCUGUGUGUGAGCGGCUGAGGAUGCAGCGCUGUGCUGCAGAGCAGUGGCGUUCUGCUGUGGGCUCCGUGCACCCCAGUGUGGGACCGGCACUGUGCUGGGACCCCGGGCUGGCACUGGUUUGGGGGGCUGCGUGGGAUGGGAUGGAUGCUGCUGCUCCCAUAGGGAUGCAAUGGGGUGCCGAGGCUGGGGUUCG
RNAcentral lists this long non-coding RNA (5751 nucleotides) under Gallus gallus (chicken). Lineage: Eukaryota; Metazoa; Chordata; Aves; Galliformes; Phasianidae. The record is from RNAcentral.